Molecule: ribosomal RNA, 429 nt
Filed under: Chloroflexota bacterium
Lineage: Bacteria; Bacillati; Chloroflexota
Description: Chloroflexi bacterium partial 16S ribosomal RNA
Rfam family: Bacterial small subunit ribosomal RNA
Source: RNAcentral
UGGGGAAUAUUGCACAAUGGGCGCAAGCCUGAUGCAGCCAUGCCGCGUGUAUGAAGAAGGCCUUCGGAUUGUAAAGUACUUUCAGCGGGGAGGAAGGGAGUAAAGUUAAUACCUUUGCUCAUUGACGUUACCCGCAGAAGAAGCACCGGCUAACUCCGUGCCAGCAGCCGCGGUAAUACGGAGGGUGCAAGCGUUAAUCGGAAUUACUGGGCGUAAAGCGCACGCAGGCGGUUUGUUAAGUCAGAUGUGAAAUCCCCGGGCUCAACCUGGGAACUGCAUCUGAUACUGGCAAGCUUGAGUCUCGUAGAGGGGGGUAGAAUUCCAGGUGUAGCGGUGAAAUGCGUAGAGAUCUGGAGGAAUACCGGUGGCGAAGGCGGCCCCCUGGACGAAGACUGACGCUCAGGUGCGAAAGCGUGGGGAGCAAACAGG